RNAcentral lists this ribosomal RNA (284 nucleotides) under uncultured bacterium. Its description in RNAcentral is "partial 16S ribosomal RNA". It matches the Rfam family "Bacterial small subunit ribosomal RNA", at positions 29 to 327 of the family's 1533-position model. The record is from RNAcentral.
AACGAACGCUGGCGGCAUGCCUAACACAUGCAAGUCGAACGAGGUUUCCACUUCGGUGGUUUCCUAGUGGCGCACGGGUGAGUAACGCGUGGGAACCUGCCUUGUGGUACGGAAUAACUCCGGGAAACUGGAGCUAAUACCGUAUGUGUCCUGUGGGACAAAGAUUGCAUCGCCAUGGGAGGGGCCCGCGUACGGAUUAGCUGGUUGGUGGGGUAACGGCCUACCAAGGCAACGAUCCUUAGCUGGUCNGAGGAGGAUGAUCAGCCACACUGGGACUGAGACAC